AUGAUUCAGGAUAUGGCUGGAAGAACGGAUGACACAUUCUUUAUGGCCUGGCUUGCGAUACUAUACCUUGAUGCGCUUGUCCAUGACAUCCCAGUAAGCAACUGCGCGAUACGAUCGAAUGCAUGGGAUAGUACUCUAAUUGCCAAGGUGAUCAAGAAGGAUACCAUCUCUCCUGGUGUGUUCGGCAAAUUACAACUUAAAGAGGAGUAUAGAGGCACGGAGCAGACACCACUGUUUGGUGGAAUUUUGCAAGCUGAAGCAUUCGUGGCAUCCAAGUUACCAAUAACCUACAAUCCGCAGAAAAAGGCAAAUAUUGCGAAAGUGGUCAAUGACCUGUGCAAGGCUGUAACUGAACAGGUUGGCACCUUCAUUGAAGCAGUUGCCAAGAUCGAUGACGAGGAACCGGAUAUUGAUCCUUACGAGAUGCCCUGGUCCUUGAACCCAUACAAAGAUCAAAGUCUUAUCAUGGUGACGGGUUCUGCGAUGCACCAUCUUUUGACCUCGGCAUAG
This 510-nucleotide ribosomal RNA is filed under the name Triticum aestivum (bread wheat). Its description in RNAcentral is "partial small subunit ribosomal RNA". The record is from RNAcentral. Lineage: Eukaryota; Viridiplantae; Streptophyta; Magnoliopsida; Poales; Poaceae.